CCCUUAGACGUUCUGGGCCGCACGCGCGCUACACUGACCAGUGCAACAAGCAUCCGUCCUUGGCCGACAGGCCCGGGCAAUCUUUGAACGCUGGUCGUGAUGGGGAUAGACUUUUGCAAUUUUUGGUCUUCAACGAGGAAUUCCUAGUAAACGCAAGUCAUCAACUUGCAUUGAUUACGUCCCUGCCCUUUGUACACACCGCCCGUCGCACCUACCGAUUGAAUGGUCCGGUGAAGCCUCCGGAUUGGCGCGCACCUCGGUGCCGCCGAGAAGUUGGCUAAACCUUACCAUUUAGAGGAAGGUGAANUCGUANCG
This 315-nucleotide ribosomal RNA is filed under the name uncultured eukaryote. RNAcentral describes it as "partial 18S ribosomal RNA". It matches the Rfam family "Eukaryotic small subunit ribosomal RNA", at positions 1470 to 1796 of the family's 1831-position model. The record is from RNAcentral.